This is an RNA transcript of Neocloeon triangulifer, 2645 nucleotides long. It is a transcript of the gene named homeobox protein engrailed-1a-like, with no coding region annotated. The record is from RefSeq and is a predicted model, not a curated record. Lineage: Eukaryota; Metazoa; Arthropoda; Insecta; Ephemeroptera; Baetidae. The transcript is spliced from 4 exons.
CCCCUGCGCGCCGGCCGGGCCGCGACUCGGCCCGCCGCGAGAUGAUGAUAAACUGAUCUCAUCCACUGUGCAGACAACAACGCGCAUAAAUCUGCUCCGCCGCGGCGCCGACAGCGCCGAAACGCCGCCGACGUGCCGACUGGAAGAACCGACAAGUGCAUUCCUCCGUUUUUGCAGGUACGGUCUGCCGAAGGGACGAUUUUUGAGUUGCCAGGUACGGACGGUACAAACAGAAGAGGGGCCCCCACCCUGUGAGCACCACCCCCACCCUCGUCCGGAUCGACACUCCCCUACUUCGGAGCAAGCGGCGACUGAAAAUCAUGCAGAAGAAUUAAGUGCGCGAUAAGGAGCUGAAUAUUGAUGAAUUAUCUCUUAAUUAGGCGUUAUGCGGUGAGCGAGACGUUGAUGGAGACAUGGCCGCAAUUGCAUCGCUCCUGCACCACCACCAACAGCUCUUGUUGCGCGCCGCCUCAGCAGCCGCCCUCAUCAACCACUCGUCGUCGGCGGCGCCGCCAGUGACCUUUGACUCGCGAAGCAGCAGCAGCAGCGGCGCCGGCAGCGACAUGUGCAGUCCGGCGCCCUCUUCCUCCGGUUCGGCCAGCCUGGCCCCGCCGGCCUCAGUCUUGUCCGAGGAGGCUGCUUCGGACGAUGACGAGGUGCUCAGCGUUGGCAGCGAGACGCCACCCUCGUUGACGGCCAGUCCGGCCCUGAGUGUUUCUCCGGGCGCCGACUUCGCCUCGGUGCGCAACCACAUGCUGAUGGAACACGAGGCGGCCCUUCGCAGCGGCCUCAAGUUCAGCAUCGACAACAUCCUGAGGCCUGAGUUCGGCCGCCUGCUGCCCGUCGUCGGCGCCCCUGUGGCUGCGAGCGCUGGCAAGAACAACGCGAAAUGUGAUAAAGGCAAGAAGAAGAACAAAGACUUGAUGCGAAUGUUACCCCCGUCAGGCAAGAGCCCUGAGUCGUCGUCGGGCGCCGCCACCCCCUCGCAGCCGAUCAACCUUUCGGCCAAAGACAAUUCCGCCAGUUCGACGCCGACAAGUCCAUCAACCCCGGGCAGCACCCCAUCGGGACAGCCCAUGUUGUGGCCGGCGUGGGUCUACUGCACCAGAUACUCAGAUCGACCCUCCUCAGCGGUUCUCCGGCUGCCACCAUCCGGACACCAUGACCAGAGUCAUCGUGAAUGGUUCCAGACGGGACACCGGCAAUCGGACGGCGCGGACGGCGCCUCUUCUGUCCGGGGGCCGGCUUUUCCUGUCUGGCAAUUGCUCGCCCAUUACGGUUGCUUUCAAGGACGAACCAGCCGAGCGGCGAGGAGGAGAAUCGCGCGCCGGGGCUGCGGCCUUGACGCGCACGAACCUGCAAGAUUCCUACUGCUGCCUCACGGCUUGCUGACAACUCGCUCGCCAACCAGCUGUAUCGUCGCCAAACUGUCUGUGGAGGUAGGAAACGGACUAACAAUCCUGACUAUUUUUCUCGGCACCGGCCUCUAUUUGUCUCUUCUACUGCUUACCAUGGGCGAUAUUGAAAGCAAUCCUGGCCCUUUGAAUGAGGACGAUAAAGCUUUCUUUCUGUCAGCUCUCGACGGCCAGCUCAAUGAGAAAUUGAAAUUCACUAAUGAAAAUAUUGGGGCGCUGAAAACAACGAUGGAUGAUUUGGUGGCCAAGGUGGAGGCGGGGGCCGAAAAAGUGAAACAUUUGGAAUCGGAAAACGCUAAAUUGUCUGUCCGAGUCACCCAACUGGAAAAUCGUCUGGCCUCGCACGAAGCCGACCUGCGGCGGAAAAACCUGGUGGUUUUCGGCGUGCCUACUGCUACCAACUUGCAGAGCGCCGUCGGCGAUCUCCUUUUCAACAAGCUGAAGCUGCCUCACCGCCCGCAGGACGAGCUUCUUGAGGCCACUUUCAGGAUCGGCAAAGAGGACGCCGCGAAGCGCCCGGUUAUUCUAAAAUUUAAAACCGACCAAGUCAAAUUUUCAGUAAUGAAAAAUGUUGCAAAUCUGAAAGGAACUGGAAUUGUCGUGUCCGAUGACCUAACACCAGAGGAACGAAAGGUCAGGCGGAAGCUGGUCGAGGCCCAUAAGACUGCUAGAAAGCUCGGAGUCCAGUCAAAAUUGCGCCGCCGUGGUCUUGAGCUCAAUGGGCACGAGAUCUCGGCUGCCGAGGUGGCCAAGGACGGCUGGCUCCGCAAGUACGUGCCGCAGUUCGACCAGCAGCAGCAGAUGGAUGGUGAGAGUGAGGGGUCCAGCUCAGAUACCAGAGACGGUCGACCCAAGCAGAAGAGGAAUAAGAAGAGGAACCGAGCUGCAGCCUUACUCUCACCCAACGAGCAGCCCUCCGAGCCCCAAGCCGGCGGGUCCCAACAGGGUUUUGCCUCAGCCCCUCCCAACAGCAAGUCCAACAGCAAGGACAACAAGGCAAAGCAACCCCCGAGGGGCCAGUCGACGAGGAGCUUGGACAGGCUGCGAUCGGCCAACAGCAAGCGAGGGUCGGACUCAGAUGUGAACAGCCAAAACUGAAACUAGUCCCAGGUCGCGGAAACUGAAGCGCAAGGAGAAGAAACCUGAAGACAAGAGACCCCGCACUGCCUUUACCAGUGAACAACUGUCAAGACUUAAACGGGAGUUUCAGGAAAACAGGUACCUGACUGA